This 1050-nucleotide ribosomal RNA is filed under the name Biston falcata satura. RNAcentral's name for it is "partial 16S ribosomal RNA". The record is from RNAcentral. Lineage: Eukaryota; Metazoa; Arthropoda; Insecta; Lepidoptera; Geometridae.
AUUAAUAAUUAAUAUAUUUAAUAAAAAUAAUUUUAAUUUAAUAAGUAUUUUAAUGGGGGUUAAAGUAUUUUUUAAAGAAAAAAUUUUUAAAUUUAUAGUUAAUUAGUAUUGUGAAAGAAUUUUGAAAUAUUAUGAAAAAUAAAAUUUUUAGAAAGUAAUUUUUAUUUAUUGUAUCUUGUGUAUCAGAGUUUAUUAAAAAUUUUUAAUUUAUGAAUUAAUUUCUCGAAUUUAAAAGAGUUAAAUAAUUAUUAAAGUUAUUGUAGCAAAAUUAUUUUAAAUAAUUAUUUAGAAAUGAAAUGUUAAUCGUUUUUAAAUAUAUCUAGUUUUUAUAGAAAAAAAUUUAAUUUUAAAUUUAAAAAUUAUUUAAUUAAUUUAUUAAUUAAAUAGUUACUUAAAUUUUAUAAUUUAAGGGAUAAGCUUUAAAUUAAAUUUUUAUAAUAUUAAAUUUUUAUUUUGAAAAUUUUAUAAUUUAUAUUGUUAAUAAAUUUUAUUUUGUUAUAAAUAAUUUCAUUUUUUUUAAAAUUUAAAUUUUAUUUAAUUUUUUAUAUAAAAUUUAUUUAUAAUUAUAUAAAGUUAAUUAUAAUGAUAAAAUUAGUAUAUUAUUUAAUAUUAAAUUAAAAUUAAUUUUUGAUUAAUAAUUAAAUUAAUUAAAAGGAAUUCGGCAAAUAUUUAUUUUCACUUGUUUAUCAAAAACAUGUCUUUUUGUUAUUUAAUUUAAAGUCUAAUCUGCCCACUGAUUUAUAAAAAUUGAAGGGCUGCAGUAUAUUGACUGUACAAAGGUAGCAUAAUCAUUAGUCUCUUAAUUGGUGACUUGUAUGAAAGAUUGGAUGAAAAAUAUACUGUCUCUUAAUUAAUAUAUAGAAUUUAAUUUUUUAUUUAAAAAGUUAAAAUAACUUAAAAAGACGAGAAGACCCUAUUGAGUUUAAUAAAUUAUUUUAUGAAAGUUUUAUUUUUAUUUAUUAAUAAUUUUAUAAAUUUAUUUAUUUAGUUGGGGUGAUAAAAAAAUAAAUUUAACUUUUUUUAAGUAAUUUACAUGGAUAAGUGAUUAAU